Molecule: ribosomal RNA, 269 nt
Filed under: uncultured prokaryote
Description: partial 16S ribosomal RNA
Rfam family: Bacterial small subunit ribosomal RNA
Source: RNAcentral
UACGUAGGGGGCUAGCGUUGUCCGGAAUUACUGGGCGUAAAGCGCGCGUAGGCGGCUUGGUAAGCGGUGGGUGCAAUUUCAGGGCUCAACCCUGAAACUGCUCGCCGAACUGCCAGGCUAGAGGACGGGAGAGGGCAGUGGAAUUCCCGGUGUAGCGGUGGAAUGCGUAAAUAUCGGGAGGAACACCAGUGGCGAAGGCUGCUGCCUGGAACGUAUCUGACGCUAAGGCGCGAAAGCCAGGGGAGCAAACGGGAUUAGAUACCCGCGUA